UAGGAUCAUCACGAGGAUGGUGAUUGAUUAGAUAGGUUAGUAUACGGAUCGCUUCCUUAUGGGUAGAUGAGUCUCGAAUCUAUACUAUGGAGACACUGAGUGAGAGUGCAGGUGCUUGUUAGAGAAUAAAGAUAUCGAGCAUGACCAACAUAAGUAAUCACUUGGAUAUUUAGCUUCUCAUCGUGACAUAUUCGAUGCUGCAGUAGUAUCAAUGG
Molecule: long non-coding RNA, 215 nt
Filed under: Elaeis guineensis (African oil palm)
Lineage: Eukaryota; Viridiplantae; Streptophyta; Magnoliopsida; Arecales; Arecaceae
Description: long non-coding RNA (EGUI_LNC079032)
Source: RNAcentral